This 248-nucleotide long non-coding RNA is filed under the name Lathyrus oleraceus (garden pea). RNAcentral's name for it is "Pisum sativum (pea) long non-coding RNA (PSAT_LNC033328)". Lineage: Eukaryota; Viridiplantae; Streptophyta; Magnoliopsida; Fabales; Fabaceae. The record is from RNAcentral.
ACCCCAUUCUCUAGAAAACACCCCGUGUCUCCUUUUCUCCAUUUGGACCCCGUUCUCCAUUCUCCCGUGCCAAUUUCGUUAGCAACGCCGGAAAUAACACCAAACACCACUCUGAUGGCAACAUAUCAGGGGGUACACCUUCACAACAGGAAGGUAAUCAUGCGCAUUUCUUCCCUCGAAGACACCCAUAACGACUUCUCUUGGCCUCGCCAAAGUCUAAGGUGACACAUGAUCAGAAGACAAUCUUG